CCGGCUAACUACGUGCCAGCAGCCGCGGUAAGACGUAGGGGGCCAGCGUUGCUCGGAAUUACUGGGUGUAAAGGGUUCGUAGGCGGUGUGGCAAGUCGGGAGUGAAAUCUCUGGGCUCAACCCAGAGGCUGCUUCCGAAACUGCUGUGCUUGAGUGUGGGAGAGGCGCGUGGAAUUGCAGGUGUAGCGGUGAAAUGCGUAGAUAUCUGCAGGAACACCCGUGGCGAAAGCGGCGCGCUGGACCACAACUGACGCUGAGGAACGAAAGCUAGGGGAGCAAACAGGAUUAGAUACCCUGGUAGUCCUAGCCCUAAACGAUCAGGACUUGGGGUGCUUCACGUUCGUGGAGCGUCCCGGAGCUAACGCGUUAAGUCCUGCACCUGGGGAGUACGGUCGCAAGACUGAAACUCAAAGGAAUUGACGGGGGCCCGCACAAGCGGUGGAACAUGUGGUUCAAUUCGACGCUACGCGAGGAACCUUACCUGGGCUCGAAGCGCACUUGACUAGCUAUAGAAAUAUGGCCUUCCCGCAAGGGACAAGUGUGGAGGCGCUGCA
RNAcentral lists this ribosomal RNA (554 nucleotides) under uncultured Acidobacteriota bacterium. Its description in RNAcentral is "bacterial SSU rRNA". It matches the Rfam family "Bacterial small subunit ribosomal RNA", at positions 493 to 1045 of the family's 1533-position model. Lineage: Bacteria; Pseudomonadati; Acidobacteriota. The record is from RNAcentral.